Long non-coding RNA from Mesocricetus auratus (golden hamster), 1216 nucleotides. RefSeq lists it as uncharacterized. Lineage: Eukaryota; Metazoa; Chordata; Mammalia; Rodentia; Cricetidae. The record is from RefSeq and is a predicted model, not a curated record. The transcript has 3 exons.
UGGCCUUAGAGGAGCUGUGGGGUCUUUCCGGCUCUCACGUGACAGCCCAGGUUGAGUUAAAUAACACCUUGGAUCUAAGGCCGUAUUCAUUGGACAGUUCCUCCCUCUCUGGAGUCCAAUGUAGGGGAAAGGAGCAGGGAGAAACCAGAGCCUGUGACCUUUAUUUCUCAUUUGUUCUCCUGGAGGUAGGCCUUUCCAGAAGGUUGAAUCUCUUCCCUUGGAACUGGCACUCUGUAGCCACUUAAAAUAGAAACGUCAAGUGUUUUCUGUUUUCCUUCCUUCUCACUGCCGGGUCGACCUUUAGUGGUCUAAUCAUCUAUGAGCUCUGGAUACCAAAUGGCGUGAUCGAAGGAGGUGGACACAUUCCAGGACGGUUAAGUCUCAAAACUAGCUGGGGGCUGGUUUUUAUCAAAGGGGGUGGUCAGCGCAGCACUCCCCAGAGUCUGGGAUCCCCGGCUUGUAAUUCUGCCAAAGAGGGAACCUAACAGAAGUCGGAGCUAACGGAAGCAGGGUUUCACAGUAGAGAAAACGAGGGCUUCACACUGCAGGUUGCUUUCCAGAACUACAAAUGCUGUGGUGCCGUGGUCGCUCCUGAAAAAUCCUUACGUGACUCUAAAAGUGGGGAAGCACACCCCAACUGCAACAUCGCAGCCUUGCAAAUGAACGAAAAGUCCCUCACAGUUGCACCAGCGGCCGGGCAGGCGAGCAGGCGAGCGAGCGGGCGGGCGCACUAGACCGCGUCAGCUCCCGGCCCCGGCGAGCCCGGCGCGCGCGCGGGGUUGGGGGGUGACAACCGUCUUCAUUUGGGCCGGGACACCCAGAGGCCUACAAAUAAACACUCGUGGCAUCAGGAUUGGCAGCCCUCUGGCCCACGGCCCAGCCACGACGAACCUGGGCCAAGGACUCUUUGUUGGACACAACCUUUAUUUCUGACGAGGGACCGCGGGCAAGGAGUAAACCAGGACAGACAGGGGGGGAAAAAAAAAACAGGAAACCCUUGAGGACGUGAGGGAAGGAGCCGGCCGGGAGUCGGAGGCUGGCGCCGGUCCCUCUUCUCCCCGACAGAGGGGUGUCCCCCGUGAAACCACUUGCUGGGCGCACACCCCAGACACUCCUCGCCUUGGGGGCCGCAGCCAUGUCCGUUAAGGGCAGCUCGAAGGCGACUGGCCCUCCUUCCCGCGACAACAGAGGUGCGGGCCAACCUGCUAAGGAGACG